UACAGAGGUGGCAAGCGUUGUUCGGAAUUACUGGGCGUAAAGGGCGCGUAGGCGGCCUACUAAGUCAGACGUGAAAUCCCCCGGCUUAACCUGGGAACUGCGUCUGAUACUGGAAGGCUUGAGUAUGGGAGAGGGAUGUAGAAUUCCAGGUGUAGCGGUGAAAUGCGUAGAUAUCUGGAGGAAUACCGGUGGCGAAGGCGGCAUCCUGGACCAUUACUGACGCUGAGGCGCGAAAGCUAGGGGAGCGAACGGG
RNAcentral lists this ribosomal RNA (253 nucleotides) under uncultured bacterium. RNAcentral's name for it is "partial 16S ribosomal RNA". It matches the Rfam family "Bacterial small subunit ribosomal RNA", at positions 524 to 776 of the family's 1533-position model. The record is from RNAcentral.